UACGUAGGGAGCUAGCGUUGUCCGGAAUCAUUGGGCGUAAAGCGCGCGUAGGCGGCCCGGUAAGUCCGCUGUGAAAGUCAAAGGCUCAACCUUUGAAUGUCAGCGGAUACUGCCGGGCUAGAGUCCGGAAGAGGCGAGUGGAACUCCUGGUGUAGCGGUGGAAUGCGCAGAUAUCAGGAAGAACACCAAUGGCGAAGGCAGCUCGCUGGGACGGUACUGACGCUGAGGCGCGAAAGCGUGGGGAGCAAACAGG
RNAcentral lists this ribosomal RNA (253 nucleotides) under uncultured bacterium. RNAcentral describes it as "partial 16S ribosomal RNA". It matches the Rfam family "Bacterial small subunit ribosomal RNA", at positions 524 to 776 of the family's 1533-position model. The record is from RNAcentral.